GAGGGUAUAGCUCAGUGGUAGAGCACAUGCUUAGCAUGCAUGAGGUCCUGGGUUCAAUCCCCUGUACCUCCU
This 72-nucleotide transfer RNA is filed under the name Camelus bactrianus (Bactrian camel). It matches the Rfam family "tRNA". From Rfam's summary of the family: Transfer RNA (tRNA) molecules are approximately 80 nucleotides in length. Lineage: Eukaryota; Metazoa; Chordata; Mammalia; Artiodactyla; Camelidae. The record is from Rfam by way of RNAcentral. RNAcentral also lists the same sequence under 2 other names.